CACUCGAAUCGGCGUCUGAGCUUACCUUUGUUAGUCAUAGCAUCAUAUAAGAGCCUCAUCAAAACAAAUGCGGACAGGGUAUGUACAUAAAAACAUAGAGUGAUGAUAUAUGUGCAAAUUACAUAUCACAUAUAAAUAGAAAUAAUAAAUCAAAUAUGAAUAGAACUAAUAAAACAUUUAUGCAUUGCUACUUUGCGAUAAAAAUGUAAUACGUUUAUGAAAUUUUAACAAGCUGCUACGUCUAAUACAUGAUUACAUUGGAAUUCAAUUGGAAAAUUAUAUGUAGGUAUAUAUAUAAAUAAACUAUAUGUGGAAGUAAUAUUCUGGUUCGCUAAAAUUCGUAUUAAAUUUUAAUUAAAUGUUAAUUUAUUAUUUUAUCAUGAAUUGGUUAAAUAUCACAUUCAAUAGCAAAGUCGGCAUUAAUGCACUUGAUAGUAUAAAAUAUAAUAACAUAACAUAUUAUGAAUUUAAAAUCAGUACCCCUAGAUUCUUCUAAGUUAACUCAAAUGCGAUAAAAAAAAGAGGUACCUGCAAGAACUUGCUGAUACUGAUCAGUUAAUACCGCGGCGUCAAGUAAUGUUAUAGAUAUUUUUGAAAUAUCGCACGUUGCUGUUUACUAUUGGAGAAGUGAACCUUACGAAUACACACAGUGGAAUGAAACGCAUGAAAUUUUGCCGUUAAAGAAAAGAUGAACUACGCAUACGUAGGUUUCGACUAAGAUAUUAUUUUACGAAUAUAUUUCCGUGGGAAAUAACCACAUGUCGAAUUUCCUUCAGCAUUAUAUUGAUCACUUACUCGUCUUCUCGGGAGCAGGUGAUGAAUUAUGAGUGUAUCGAUGGCAGUAUGUGCUACCUUACUCCGUUUAUAUUAUUAAGCAAUUUGCAUGGCAAUUUUCUUUGGCAAAGAAAAAUGAUACAAUUUUAUAUAAUGUUAUAUGAUUAUAUAAUUCGCAAGUGCUUCUAUGCAAGAUGAGGUUUCACGAAUCGUCACAAAAUAGUUUGCAGUCAACCGUAACUCGAGAAACUCAGGAUUAUUUAUAAAAUGAGUAUCUCCGUCCAAGAACGGUACUUCAGCUGGAAUAGAAUUUUAUUACUCGCUGUUGGCUUAUGGCCUUAUCACCAAUCAAGGUUUGCUCGAUUUCAGGCAGCGUUGUGUCUUAGUAUUUUGACAAGCUUCGUCGUAUUCGUGCUUUCAAGACUUUAUUUUACAGAAUACUCCUUUGAAUUUACUAUUCAUUUGCUUUCUAUAUCAAUGUAUUAUACUUUCUUUGUUAUUAAUCAUAUCGCCUUUUGGAUUAAUAUAGAAACUGCAAGAAAUUUAUUGGAGCAAUUUCAAUACAUCUACAAGAGGCUAAAGGAUGCGAAAGAAAUUGCUAUCUAUAACAAAUAUGGGAACUUUGCAAACCGAAUAACGCUCUCCUGCAUAAUACUUGCAGUAUGCAGUGCGUUUAUUAUUACUGCAAUAGAAUAUUGGCCAAUCAUUUUUGAUAUGAUUAUGCCCAAAAAUGAGACCCACGCGCGCCGUUUCAUAGUAACUGUGACUAAAUAUUUCGCCCUACAAGAAAAAUAUUUCUAUGUAUUUAUUCUAUUUAUGAACGCAGUUCAUAAUAUAGGAACAGUUGGAAUCUUAGCGACAGGAACAAUGCUAUUAUCAUGUCUCAAACAUAUCUCUGGAAUAUUGAGAAUUGCUAGCUACCGCUUUGAACACGCAAUAACAGCUACGUUACAAAGUAUUACCAUAAAAAAUGAAACUAUGAAUUACAAGGAGUUUAUCUAUGCCGUGGACAUUCAUCGCAAAGCUAUGGAGUAUCAUUAUAAACAUAAAAUAGUUCGCAUCAAUGCAGAGAACGAGAACUAAUAGGAAUUACAAUUUUAAUACUAAUUGUUGCCGUUUGAGACAAUUAUUGUAGUUAAUUUAAAAAAUGUAGUUAAAUAAACAUGAUGAAACAUAAAAUUAAAAGGUGUGCCAAAUUUGGUGUAGACGGCAUGGAACGAUCAUUUUUCGUUAUUACAAUGAUUACUGUUCUUUGUAUGAGUUUGAAUCUUUAUGGA
This 2051-nucleotide unclassified non-coding RNA is filed under the name Ooceraea biroi (clonal raider ant). RNAcentral's name for it is "odorant receptor 43a-like, transcript variant X7". Lineage: Eukaryota; Metazoa; Arthropoda; Insecta; Hymenoptera; Formicidae. The record is from RNAcentral.